GAUGAACGCUGGCGGCGUGCUUAACACAUGCAAGUCGAACGGAAAGGCCCAAGCUUGCUUGGGUACUCGAGUGGCGAACGGGUGAGUAACACGUGGGUGAUCUGCUCUGCACUUCGGGAUAAGCCUGGGAAACUGGGUCUAAUACCGGAUAGGACCACAUUUUGGAUGGUGUGGUGGAAAGUUUUUCGGUGUGGGAUGAGCUCGCGGCCUAUCCGCUUGUUGGUGGGGUAAUGGCCUACCAAGGCGUCGACGGGUAGCCGGCCUGAGAGGGUGUACGGCCACAUUGGGACUGAGAUACGGCCCAGACUCCUACGGGAGGCAGCAGUGGGGAAUAUUGCACAAUGGGCGCAAGCCUGAUGCAGCGACGCCGCGUGGGGGAUGACGGCCUUCGGGUUGUAAACUCCUUUCGCUAGGGACGAAGCGUUAUGUGACGGUACCUGGAGAAGAAGCACCGGCUAACUACGUG
Molecule: ribosomal RNA, 466 nt
Filed under: uncultured bacterium
Lineage: Bacteria
Description: partial 16S ribosomal RNA
Rfam family: Bacterial small subunit ribosomal RNA
Source: RNAcentral